RNAcentral lists this ribosomal RNA (253 nucleotides) under uncultured bacterium. RNAcentral describes it as "partial 16S ribosomal RNA". It matches the Rfam family "Bacterial small subunit ribosomal RNA", at positions 524 to 776 of the family's 1533-position model. The record is from RNAcentral.
UACAGAGGGUGCGAGCGUUAAUCGGAAUUACUGGGCGUAAAGCGCGCGUAGGCGGUUUUGCAAGUCGGGUGUGAAAUCCCCAAGCUUAACUUGGGAACUGCAUUCGAGACUGCAUUGCUAGAGUAUGGGAGAGAGAAGUGGAAUUUCCGGUGUAGCGGUGAAAUGCGUAGAUAUCUGGAGGAAUACCGGUGGCGAAGGCGGCAUCCUGGACCGAGAUUGACACUGAGGAGCGAAAGCCAGGGGAGCAAACGGG